RNAcentral lists this ribosomal RNA (253 nucleotides) under uncultured bacterium. RNAcentral describes it as "partial 16S ribosomal RNA". It matches the Rfam family "Bacterial small subunit ribosomal RNA", at positions 524 to 776 of the family's 1533-position model. The record is from RNAcentral.
UACAGAGGGGGCAAGCGCUGUUCGGAAUUACUGGGCGUAAAGUGUGCGCAGGCGGCCGCGCAAGUCGAGUGUGAAAUCCCCGAGCUUAACUUGGGAAUUGCGCUCGAAACUACGUGGCUGGAGUGUGGCAGAGGAAGGUGGAAUUCCACGUGUAGCGGUGAAAUGCGUAGAUAUCUGGAGGAAUACCGGUGGCGAAGGCGGCAUCCUGGACCGACAUUGACGCUGAGGAGCGAAAGCUAGGGGAGCAAACGGG